UGGGGAAUCUUGCGCAAUGGGCGAAAGCCUGACGCAGCGACGCCGCGUGUGGGAUGAAGGCCUUCGGGUCGUAAACCACUGUCGGGAGGGACGAAAAUCUGACGGUACCUCCAAAGGAAGCACCGGCUAACUCCGUGCCAGCAGCCGCGGUAAUACGGAGGGUGCGAGCGUUGUCCGGAAUCACUGGGCGUAAAGGGCGCGUAGGCGGCCCGGUAAGUAGGAGGUGAAAUCUUGCGGCUCAACCGCAAGGCUGCCUUCUAAACUGCCAGGCUUGAGCACAGUAGAGGCAGGUGGAAUUCCCGGUGUAGCGGUGGAAUGCGUAGAGAUCGGGAAGAACAUCGGUGGCGAAGGCGGCCUGCUGGGCUGUUGCUGACGCUGAGGCGCGACAGCGUGGGGAGCAAACAG
RNAcentral lists this ribosomal RNA (405 nucleotides) under uncultured bacterium. Its description in RNAcentral is "bacterial SSU rRNA". It matches the Rfam family "Bacterial small subunit ribosomal RNA", at positions 355 to 775 of the family's 1533-position model. The record is from RNAcentral.